RNAcentral lists this unclassified non-coding RNA (147 nucleotides) under soil metagenome. RNAcentral's name for it is "partial internal transcribed spacer 1". The record is from RNAcentral.
UAAUAAGUGUUUUAUGGCACUUUUUAAAUCCAUAUCCACCUUGUGUGCAAUGUCAGUCGAUCUUCUUUAUUGGAGGAUCGACCAAACAUCAACCUUUAUCUUUUAACUCUUUGUCUUAAAAAUAUUAUGAAUAAACAAUUCAAAAUA